AGAGUUUGAUCCUGGCUCAGGAUGAACGCUGGCGGCGUGCUUAACACAUGCAAGUCGAACGAGGGCUUGUUUGAAAGCGGCUUCGGCCAAUUGAAGACAAGACCGAGUGGCGGACGGGUGAGUAACGCGUGGGUAACCUGCCUAUCACAGGGGGAUAACAGUUAGAAAUGACUGCUAAUACCGCAUAAGCAUACAGCAUCGCAUGAUGCAGUGUGAAAAGCUCCGACGGUGAUAGAUGGACCCGCGUCUGAUUAGCUAGUUGGUGAGGUAACGGCCCACCAAGGCGACGAUCAGUAGCCGAACUGAGAGGUUGACCGGCCACAUUGGGACUGAGACACGGCCCAAACUCCUACGGGAGGCAGCAAUGGGGGAUAUUGCACAAUGGGGGAAACCCUGAUGCAGCGACGCCGCGUGAGUGAUGAAGUAUUUCGGUAUGUAAAGCUCUAUCAGCAGGGAAGAAAAUGACGGUACCUGACUAAGAAGCCCCGGCUAACUACGUGCCAGCAGCCGCGGUAAUACGUAGGGGGCAAGCGUUAUCCGGAUUUACUGGGUGUAAAGGGUGCGUAGGUGGUAUGGUAAGUCAGAAGUGAAAACCCAGGGCUCAACUUUGGGACUGCUUUUGAAACUAUCAAACUAGAGUGCAGGUGGGGUAAGCGGAAUUCCUAGUGUAGCGGUGAAAUGCGUAGAUAUUAGGAAGAACACCAGAGGCGAAGGCGACUUACUGGCCUGCAACUGACACUGAGGCACGAAAGCGUGGGGAGCAAACAGGAUUAGAUACCCUGGUAGUCCACGCUGUAAACGAUGAUUACUAGGUAUGGGAGGUAUCGACUCCUUCCGUGCCGCAGCUAACGCAAUAAGUAAUCCGCCUGGGGAGUACGGCCGCAAGGUUGAAACUCAAAGAAAUUGACGGGGACCCGCACAAGCAGCGGAGCAUGUGGUUUAAUUCGACGCAACGCGAAAAACCUUACCAGGUCUUGACAUCCUUUGACCGCCUGAGAGAUCAGGUUUCUCUAGCAAUAGAGCAGAGAGACAGGUGGUGCAUGGUUGUCGUCAGCUCGUGUCGUGAGAUGUUCGGUUAAGUCCGACAACGAGCGCAACCCUUGUAUAUAGUUGCCAAUAUUAAGUUAGGAACUCUAUAUAAACUGCCGUGGCUAACACGGAGGAAGGUGGGGAUGACGUCAAAUCAUCACGCCCCUUACGACCUGGGCCACACACGUGCUACAAUGGCUAUUACAAAGAGCAGCGAAGCUGUAAAGUGGAGCGAAUCUCAAAAAGAUAGUCUCAGUUCAGAUUGUGGGCUGCAACCCGCCCACAUGAAGUAGGAGUUGCUAGUAAUCCCGAAUCAGCAUGUCGGGGUGAAUGCGUUCCCGGGUCUUGCACACACCGCCGGUCA
Molecule: ribosomal RNA, 1393 nt
Filed under: uncultured bacterium
Lineage: Bacteria
Description: bacterial SSU rRNA
Rfam family: Bacterial small subunit ribosomal RNA
Source: RNAcentral